UGAUUGACAAAUGCUACAAGUUGCAUGGGUUCCCCCCAGACUUCAAAUUUACCAGGGAUAAACGAACUGCUGCAAGUGUUGAUGUACAAAAGGGUAUGAAAUCUGCUGCAAAUACUGAAGUGUCAAAUGUGCGUGAAGGUGUUCAGAAUUCUUCUACCUCAGAAUCUGGUAUUCCUGGAUUGACAAAGGAGCAGUAUUCACAGCUUUUGCUUCUUCUUCAACAAACUCAAGUCUCUGAAUCU
Molecule: long non-coding RNA, 242 nt
Filed under: Nicotiana benthamiana
Lineage: Eukaryota; Viridiplantae; Streptophyta; Magnoliopsida; Solanales; Solanaceae
Description: long non-coding RNA (NBEN_LNC001129)
Source: RNAcentral